This is a long non-coding RNA of Saccostrea cuccullata (small rock oyster), 775 nucleotides long. RefSeq lists it as uncharacterized. Lineage: Eukaryota; Metazoa; Mollusca; Bivalvia; Ostreida; Ostreidae. The record is from RefSeq and is a predicted model, not a curated record. The transcript has 5 exons.
UUGUAAUAUUACGUUUUUGAGGUUUCAUAAUUUCAGAGGUCCCUAAAUGUUUGAACUUUAUGUACAGCAACGUUAGUCAUUACGCAUAAUUACUCAACACAACAGUCCUUGCACUGCAGGCUAUCGAUACGUUGUAGUAUCAGUCUAAUCUUACAUUGUGUCGUAGGCUGUGAACGACGUGCCAGAUCUCUGCUAUGUUGGAUAUUUGUAUAUCAGAAUUACUAUUUUUAUUUGAUCUAUUUAUUGUUCAGUUGGUUAUUUGUUUGAACACUGAAGCCUACUGCCGCCCUACGUACGAUACGGAGAAAAUUCGAAAGUGAAAGUAGAAAUUGUGUACAGUACAAGUUAACAAUAACCAUCUCGAAGUUGAAGUUAAACACGCAAUCUGGAACUCGGUAUCACAUCUGACUCGCACUUCUGAAAUGGAUCAAAUAGGACUUUGUCGUCGAGACUCGGAAGAACCCAGCUGCCUAAAUUAUAAUGCCAGUGGAACUCAAAACAGAAAAGAUACUUUUAUACAAGACAUGGAGAAAAGAGCAGACUACAGCCUCUAUAUACCAUUCCUUGGUGCCUCCUUGAAUUGAUGUUUUUCAGGAUAACCAUGCAGGAAUAAAGGUUAACUCAGUAUAAAGUCUUGCUGACAUGAACAUGAUAAUCACAAGAAAGUGAACAUAUUUCAUCACCUUAAGCAAUCUUCAAAAUACCAGAUUGGAAAAAGAAAGAAGAUUUGUAGCAUUGUAUUGAAUAUGCCUGAUUAAAAGUAUUCAUGGAUAAA